RNAcentral lists this ribosomal RNA (996 nucleotides) under Scolecenchelys breviceps (short-headed worm eel). RNAcentral's name for it is "partial 16S ribosomal RNA". It matches the Rfam family "Bacterial large subunit ribosomal RNA", at positions 1283 to 2925 of the family's 2925-position model. The record is from RNAcentral. Lineage: Eukaryota; Metazoa; Chordata; Actinopteri; Anguilliformes; Ophichthidae.
UAGAGGAGAUUAUGCUAAAAUAAGUAAUAAGAGAGUAUAUGACUCUCUCCCGGCACACGUGUAAGCCAGAUCGGACCAACCACUGGCAAAUAACGGACCCAACAACGAGGGCACAACAAAAUAUAAAAUUAAACAAGAAAACCCUAUAACCAAACUAUAACCGUUAACCCAACACAGGAGCGCCACAAGGAAAGACUAAAAGGAGAAGAAGGAACUCGGCAAACAUAAACCCCGCCUGUUUAACAAAAACAUCGCCUCUUGCCAACAAAAGAUGUAUAAGAGGUCCCGCCUGCCCAGUGACCACGUCGUUCAACGGCCGCGGUAUUUUAACCGCGCUAAGGUAGCGUAAUCAUUUGUCUCUUAAAUGGAGACCUGUAUGAAUGGCACCACGAGGGUUUGACUGUCUCCUUCCCCCAGUCAAUGAAAUUGAUCUGCCCGUGCAGAAGCGGACAUAAUAACAUAAGACGAGAAGACCCUAUGGAGCUUUAGGCAAAAGAUUAAACAUGUAAAGAGAAUUAUUCAACCCUAAAGGGACCAAAUGAUUUUAAACCUAAUGUAAAUAUAAUUCCCAUGCCUUCGGUUGGGGCGACCGCGGGGGAAAAUAAAGCCCCCGCAUGGAAUUGAAGACACCUUCCAAGACAAAGAACCACAGUUCUAAACAACAGAACAUCUGACCACAAGUGAUCCGGGACAAAAUAUUACCCGAUCAAUGAACCAAGUUACCCUAGGGAUAACAGCGCAAUCCUUUCCCAGAGCCCAUAUCGACGAAAGGGUUUACGACCUCGAUGUUGGAUCAGGACAUCCUAAUGGUGAAGCCGCUAUUAAGGGUUCGUUUGUUCAACGAUUAAUAGUCCUACGUGAUCUGAGUUCAGACCGGAGUAAUCCAGGUCGGUUUCUAUCUAUGAACUUGCUCCUUGCCAGUACGAAAGGACCGCAAGAAAAGGGCCCAUACCAAAAGCAAGCCCCAACCCCACCCUCUGAAAACAAAUAAAAAGG